This 606-nucleotide ribosomal RNA is filed under the name uncultured Pseudomonadota bacterium. RNAcentral's name for it is "bacterial SSU rRNA". It matches the Rfam family "Bacterial small subunit ribosomal RNA", at positions 57 to 672 of the family's 1533-position model. Lineage: Bacteria; Pseudomonadati; Pseudomonadota. The record is from RNAcentral.
GCAAGUCGCACGCGAAAGAGGGGCAACUCUCGAGUAGAGUGGCGCACGGGUGCGUAACACGUAACUAACGUACCCCAUCGCUGGGGAUAACUCCGUGAAAACGGAGCUAAUACCGAAUAAUCUGACGGGGCCUGCGGGCUCUGUCGGUAAAGCCGUAAGGCGCGGUGGGACCGGGUUGCGGCCGAUUAGCUAGUUGGUGGGGUAAUGGCCCACCAAGGCAACGAUCGGUAGCUGGUCUGAGAGGAUGAUCAGCCACACUGGAACUGGAACACGGUCCAGACUCCCACGGGAGGCAGCAGUUGGGAAUAUUGGACAAUGGGGUAACCCCUGAUCCAGCUACCCCGCGUGAGUGAUGAAGGCCUUCGGGUCGUAAAGCUCUUUUAGAAGGGACGAAGGGAAACUUGACGGUACCUUCAGAAAAAGCACCGGCUAACUCUGUGCCAGCAGCCGCGGUAAUACAGAGGGUGCAAGCGUUGUUCGGAAUCAUUGGGCGUAAAGCGCGUGUAGGCGGCCGCCUCAGUCUGGUGUGAAAGCCCAGGGCUUAACCCUGGAAGUGCACUGGAUACUAGGUGGCUAGAGGAUAUGAGGGGGAGAUUGGAAUUCAUG